UACGAACUGUGCGAACGUUAUUCGGAAUCACUGGGCUUAAAGGGUGCGUAGGCGGCUAUAAGGGUCAGAUGUGAAAUCCCACAGCUCAACUGUGGAACUGCGUUUGAAACCGUAUAGCUUGAGGAAGUCAGAGGUAAGCGGAACUGAUGGUGGAGCGGUGAAAUGCGUUGAUAUCAUCAGGAACACCGGUGGCGAAGGCGGCUUACUGGGACUUUUCUGACGCUGAGGCACGAAAGCUAGGGGAGCGAACGGGAUUAGAUACCCCUGUA
Molecule: ribosomal RNA, 269 nt
Filed under: uncultured prokaryote
Description: partial 16S ribosomal RNA
Rfam family: Bacterial small subunit ribosomal RNA
Source: RNAcentral